CAGGGAGACAACAAAAUGUUUAAUAUUAUUAUUUUGUCACCUUAGGUCGAUCGGUAUCUCACGUUCUUAAUUUAUUAAGAAUUUCAUUUCCUAAGUUUUUCUAGGUCACACCCAUUAUUUUUCCUGGGCCAUUAGCUCAGGUGGUUAGAGCGCACCCCUGAUAAGGGUGAGGUCCCUGGUUCAAGUCCAGGAUGGCCCAUAUCUCUAUGUUGGGGGUAUAGCUCAGUUGGUAGAGCGCCUGCUUUGCAAGCAGGAUGUCAGCGGUUCGAGUCCGCUUACCUCCACUGAUUACCACCUCUUCCAUAAUUUGAAGAAAGGAAAUCUUUUGAGUUGUGAUCAAAUUCUGAACGAAUCUAGCUUCCUAAUGAAUCCAUUAAGAUGCUGGACUCAUUGAAUUAAUUUUCAUUGUUUUCAGAGAACCUUGACAACUGCAUAGAUUAUUUUUAAAGACAAUAAGCAUCUUUAUUGAUGCAGAUUUAUUAUUUGUGCGAAUGCAUUAAUAACAAUUCUAUUAAGCUGAUGCUUCAAUUUAAUGAAGUUAUU
RNAcentral lists this transfer RNA (543 nucleotides) under uncultured Prochlorococcus sp. RNAcentral describes it as "partial 16S-23S ribosomal RNA intergenic spacer". The stretch from base 212 to 284 matches the Rfam family "tRNA". The record is from RNAcentral. Lineage: Bacteria; Bacillati; Cyanobacteriota; Cyanophyceae; Synechococcales; Prochlorococcaceae.